UUUUGCGACAAUUAUUAGGAAGCUAAAGCACUUUGACCUUAGGGACAACAUGUUACAAUGAUGGGAGUGACAUCUAAAGCUGCAGAUGAAUCUCAAAUUCUGCUGUGUAGAGAGACGCUUUGGAGAAAUUACAGUUCGUCUUGAUGUUUUGGGAAUUAAAACAAACAAGGAUCAAAAUGAUGAUAGAAAGCCAGAAGAUGAUGCAACUCGUAG
This 213-nucleotide unclassified non-coding RNA is filed under the name Hevea brasiliensis (rubber tree). Lineage: Eukaryota; Viridiplantae; Streptophyta; Magnoliopsida; Malpighiales; Euphorbiaceae. The record is from RNAcentral.